This 1428-nucleotide ribosomal RNA is filed under the name metagenome. RNAcentral's name for it is "bacterial SSU rRNA". It matches the Rfam family "Bacterial small subunit ribosomal RNA". The record is from RNAcentral.
AGAGUUUGAUCGUGGCUCAGGAUGAACGCUAGCGGCGCGCUUAAUGCAUGCAAGUCGAGCGAUGAGGCUCCUUCGGGAGUACAUCAGCGGCAGACGGGUGAGUAACACGUAGGUGACCUACCCUCAAGACGGGGAUAACGAGUGGAAACAUUUGCUAAUACCCGAUGACCUUACUAGGUCGAAGUAGUAAGGAAAGCUCCGGUGCUUGAGGAGGGGCCUGCGGCCCAUCAGCUAGUUGGUGAGGUAACGGCUCACCAAGGCAAAGACGGGUAGGGGGUGUGAGAGCAUGACCCCCCACAAUGGGACUGCGACACGGCCCAUACUCCUACGGGAGGCAGCAGCAGGGAAUCUUGCACAAUGGACGGAAGUCUGAUGCAGCGACGCCGCGUGAGUGAAGACGGCCUUCGGGUUGUAAAACUCUUUUGAGGGGGAAGAGCGGGACGGUACCCUUCGAAUAAGCGUCGGCUAACUACGUGCCAGCAGCCGCGGUAAGACGUAGGACGCAAGCGUUAUCCGGAUUUACUGGGCGUAAAGCGUCUGUAGGCGGGUGUGUAAGUUGGAUGUGAAAGCUCCAUGCUCAACGUGGAGAGGCCAUACAAUACUGCACGCCUAGAGGGGGUCAGAGGAGUGUGGAAUUUCCGGUGUAGCGGUAAAAUGCGCAGAUAUCGGAAGGAACACCAGUGGCGAAGGCGGCACUCUGGGGCCCACCUGACGCUGAGAGACGAAAGCUAGGGGAGCGAACAGGAUUAGAGACCCUGGUAGUCCUAGCCCUAAACGCUGAAUGCUAGGUGUGGGGGCGUAGAGCCUCUGUGCCGGAGCUAACGCGAUAAGCAUUCCGCCUGGGGAGUACGGCCGCAAGGUUAAAACUCAAACGAAUUGUCGGGACCCCGCACAAGCAGCGGAGCGUGUGGUUUAAUUCGAUCCUACACGAAGAACCUUACCUGGGUUUGACAUAUAGGUGGUAGGAAGCCGAAAGGCGACUGACCCUUCGGGGAGCUUAUACAGGUGCUGCAUGGCUGUCGUCAGCUCGUGCCGUGAGGUGUCGGGUUAAGUCCCGUAACGAGCGCAACCCUUGCCCUUAGUUAUACGUGUCUAAGGGGACUGCCGGCGGGAAGCCGGAGGAAGGUGGGGAUGACGUCAAGUCAGCAUGGCCCUUAUAUCCAGGGCUACACACACGCUACAAUGGGCGGUACAGAGGGCAGCGAAGUCGCGAGGCGGAGCGAAUCCUAGAAAGCCGUUCGUAGUUCGAAUAGCAGGCUGCAACUCGCCUGCUUGAAGCUGGAGUUGCUAGUAACCGCGCGUCAGCUAUAGUGCGGUGAAUACGUUCCCGGGGUUUGUACACACCGCCCGUCACGUCAUGGGAGUUGGUAACGCCUGAAGCCGGUAGCUUAACGUUAACGCGGGAGCGCUGUCGAGGGCGGGACUGCC